CUUUCGUCGUAAUGAGCCCGUAUUUAAAAUGGUCCACGCAGCUCUUUUACCGUCGGGCUCCUUUUCGGCAGCCUUUGCCAGUUCAGGAGGGCAGUCUGGGCCCAGCACAGGGAGCUCACGUCUCGGCGUGUGUCGCCUCCAUGAGGCCGGAUAACCCCACCGGCUAGGGGGGGGGAGCGGGGCCGUGCCCCGAGCCAGCAGCUUCCGUUGCCAGAGUAAGUUGCUUUUGUUUCUCUUUAGGAUCGCCACG
Pelobates cultripes (western spadefoot toad) is the source of this 250-nucleotide non-coding RNA. The record is from the annotation of a GenBank genome assembly. Lineage: Eukaryota; Metazoa; Chordata; Amphibia; Anura; Pelobatidae.